CAGUCGCCGCGGGAAUACGUGGGGUGCAAGCGUUGUCCGGAAUUAUUGGGCGUAAGGCGUGCGCAGGCGGUUAUAUAAGACAGAUGUGAAAUCCCCGGGCUCAACCUGGGAACUGCAUUUGUGACUGUAUAGCUAGAGUACGGCAGAGGGGGAUGGAAUUCCGCGUGUAGCAGUGAAAUGCGUAGAUAUGCGGAGGAACACCGAUGGCGAAGGCAAUCCCCUGGGCCUGUACUGACGCUCAUGCACGAAAGCGUGGGGAGCAAACAGGAUUAGAUACCCCUGUAGUCCCUGUCUCUUAUAA
This 301-nucleotide ribosomal RNA is filed under the name uncultured bacterium. RNAcentral's name for it is "partial 16S ribosomal RNA". It matches the Rfam family "Bacterial small subunit ribosomal RNA", at positions 509 to 809 of the family's 1533-position model. The record is from RNAcentral.